AUUGAACGCUGGCGGCGGGCCUAACACAUGCAAGUCGAGCGGAUGAAGGGAGCUUGCUCCUGGAUUCAGCGGCGGACGGGUGAGUAAUGCCUAGGAAUCUGCCUGGUAGUGGGGGAUAACGUCCGGAGACGGGCGCUAAUACCGCAUACGUCCUGAGGGAGAAAGUGGGGGAUCUUCGGACCUCACGCUAUCAGAUGAGCCUAGGUCGGAUUAGCUAGUUGGUGGGGUAAAGGCCUACCAAGGCGACGAUCCGUAACUGGUCUGAGAGGAUGAUCAGUCACACUGGAACUGAGACACGGUCCAGACUCCUACGGGAGGCAGCAGUGGGGAAUAUUGGACAAUGGGCGAAAGCCUGAUCCAGCCAUGCCGCGUGUGUGAAGAAGGUCUUCGGAUUGUAAAGCACUUUAAGUUGGGAGGAAGGGCAGUAAGUUAAUACCUUGCUGUUUUGACGUUACCAACAGAAUAAGCACCGGCUAACUUCGUG
RNAcentral lists this ribosomal RNA (484 nucleotides) under uncultured bacterium. Its description in RNAcentral is "partial 16S ribosomal RNA". It matches the Rfam family "Bacterial small subunit ribosomal RNA", at positions 30 to 507 of the family's 1533-position model. The record is from RNAcentral.